AUUAUUUUGGCAGAUUAUGCGUUAGAUUUAGAAUCUAAUUAUAUAGGGACCCUAUAAAUAAUA
This 63-nucleotide transfer RNA is filed under the name Austropotamobius pallipes (white-clawed crayfish). Its description in RNAcentral is "tRNA-Leu". The record is from RNAcentral. Lineage: Eukaryota; Metazoa; Arthropoda; Malacostraca; Decapoda; Astacidae.